GUGGGGUUGUGGCUCAGUGGUAGAGCACUUGCCUAGCAUGUGUGAGAAUCUGGAUUCGAUUCUCAGCACCACA
Molecule: transfer RNA, 73 nt
Filed under: Marmota monax (woodchuck)
Lineage: Eukaryota; Metazoa; Chordata; Mammalia; Rodentia; Sciuridae
Description: tRNA.Ala
Rfam family: tRNA
About the family: Transfer RNA (tRNA) molecules are approximately 80 nucleotides in length. Their secondary structure includes four short double-helical elements and three loops (D, anti-codon, and T loops).
Source: RNAcentral